GUGCGCUUCACUUUUAACUUCCCUGUUGUAUCUAAUCCUUGUCUUCCUCUUGAUCUCUAGUAACUGUGCUGGGUCCAUCAUCGAAUCCACCACCUGAAGCAAGCUCAUUCAAUCCAAGAACCAGCCUUUCCUUGAGUUACCAACUUCUUGUGAGGUGGGGCUACGAAUUGGCUCAUUUUCUUGGGUUUCUGACAUGCUCUCUCUGGGUUUUAGAAUGAUGGGUUCAUUAAAAUUCUUGGUCUCGUCCUCCUCGCUUCCCAUAGAGUCAUCCUCUAGAGGGGGGCGGUUAUUAUUGCUUCCAUCAUCAGAAUGAAUUCUAGCAGACUUGUCAAUCUUUCUCGACUCAGUUUCGGAGUCAGAAAGCUCAUAUUGUCUGUAAUCAAUGCGGGUUCGUUGUGUGGAUGGGAG
RNAcentral lists this long non-coding RNA (408 nucleotides) under Amborella trichopoda. RNAcentral's name for it is "long non-coding RNA (ATRI_LNC002459)". The record is from RNAcentral. Lineage: Eukaryota; Viridiplantae; Streptophyta; Magnoliopsida; Amborellales; Amborellaceae.